Molecule: ribosomal RNA, 254 nt
Filed under: uncultured bacterium
Lineage: Bacteria
Description: partial 16S ribosomal RNA
Rfam family: Bacterial small subunit ribosomal RNA
Source: RNAcentral
UACGAAGGGGGCUAGCGUUGCUCGGAUUGACUGGGCGUAAAGGGCGCGUAGGCGGCUCAGUAAGUCGGGUGUGAAACCUCCAGGCUCAACCUGGAGACGCCACCCGAUACUGCUGUGGCUAGAGUCCAGUAGGGGAGUGUGGAAUUCCCGGUGUAGCGGUGAAAUGCGCAGAUAUCGGGAGGAACACCAGCGGCGAAGGCGGCACUCUGGGCUGGUACUGACGCUGAGGAGCGAAAGCGUGGGUAGCAAACAGG